Molecule: long non-coding RNA, 1972 nt
Organism: Oreochromis niloticus (Nile tilapia)
Lineage: Eukaryota; Metazoa; Chordata; Actinopteri; Cichliformes; Cichlidae
Exons: 3
Source: RefSeq, a predicted model, not a curated record
CUCAGCAUGGAUGUUUGCCUGCCGCUGGUCAGGGUGUACUGAGUCUCGCCCAUUAACAGCUGGGAUAAAUUCUAGCCUUCCCACAACUCUGAACAGGACAAGCAGUCAGCAGACAAGAAAACUAAAGUCUGGAUUUCAAUAAAGAGAGAUCAUUUGGAAGAACUGAACAUGAUAUAUUGAGAUAGAAAUGAAUUAUUGUAUGACCAGUAAUGGCAGAGUGGAAUCAGGGACAGGACCCCCAAGAGUCUGCACGCUGGUGGUGGUGAAGAUGAAAAUUUGACGCUUGGAUGGAGCUCUGAGUGACUUGGCUCAAGUUUUAGUAGAAGAUAAAUCGAUGCAAAAUCCGUGCAGCCUAGUCUGGCUCUGUGUAUCCCUGCAACGGCACAGACACGACGACCCGCAUGAGAAUCACCAAUGGGCCCCAUUCAUCAAUCAGAACCAGCUGAAAACAAAAAAAAUCAAUUCAGCAUCAGUAUUUUAGAGUGUGUAAUGAUUCUAAAAAUAAAUGUUCUGACCUUUAUUUAAUCAAUGCAGGGAGAUAAAACUCACUUUUCUUGUCAUUGUCACCUUGGCGCUGCACAGUCCUCAGAGCCCACACUACAGCAUCGGGAACCAUUUGAGGAAACUAUGAGGAAUCUCAAUGAGGAGCUGAAUUCUUGAUGUGAAAAUGUUCCUUUUACACGUACGCUCCCACUAACAAUGAAUCGAUCGAUGACAGGCGCCGCUUCAGCCCAAGCUCUGUAUCGUUUUGAAUUUCAUGGACCAGCUAAGUGUGUCUGUCUGUGGAGCUUGUUAGUUUGUUUUGAAGUGAGGUCUGACCGGAGAUGUAUUAUCUCUCAGGCUGGAGUUGUAUUAUCCUUCACUGACCCAAGACCGAGAUAAUAAGACUGAGGAGCAAAGGGCUGAUAGCUGAGCGAGAGAAGAAGGGCGACACCAUGGGAAACAAACACAAUGUUAUUUAGUCCCUUGUUCUUUCUUUUUAUUAUAUUUGUUCAUGCGGUGGCGUGUGUACGUUUUGCUUUUGUGUUUUUAUUUUCUUCCCAUCUCUUAUAUUAUUUUAUGUGAGGCGAUGAUGCCUUCUUCACAUUGUGCUGCAGGGAAAAAUGUGUUAUGAUAGGCAUGACCAAAGAAUUUGUCAACAUGUUUUUUUUCCCAUAUUCCUACAGGAAUAACAGAUCUAUUGGCUGAUGUGUAGAUGUGUGAUGUGUGCUUUCAUCAGCUGUGCAACUUUCCCAUUAGCAAGGACGCCCUAUGUUCAUGUGCAUAAAACUAUGCUCUGAGAACUAUGAAACCUGGGUGUAAUUGAUGCUGUAGGUUAUACUCCUGUGAUUCAGAACAAAAUGCUGUGGAUGAAGAGGGAUGCUACACACACAUAAUGCAGUUUGUAAAGAUAUUACAGAAUUUGCAUUACCAAAGUUUUAAUGCAAUUUCUGAAAUGGCUGUCCAUUUUUAUUCCCAGGGCAUCAAAUGAAGGGCAUUAUAUAUUUGAUAUGACAUUUAGUUUACUUUGCAAACCCAUACAUCACUGUCAUUACAACUCAGUAUGUAUUUGGACUAUUUGUCAUCUGCAUUUACAUGAAUUAAUGAGGUGGCCCAGCACUGCUUCACAGCGAUGUCACAUGCAAUAUGAUGUGGCCACCCUUGCAUUGCUGUAUUUAAAGGUAGUUGCAAUUUAAGCCUCCAUGUGUGAGACAGCCUUCCUCCUCCAUCCGAAACUUUUCUUGUCAGCGUGGGAUGGAACAAAAUGACGUGAGACAAGAAACUGCAAAACAAAAGGCAACCAUAUUCCCCACACCCCCAUAUAAUUGUGCAGUUCAAUCUGCCAAACCCUCUGUACUCUUUGAAGAUGCGUGGAAUCAAAACCGUGACACUCUGUCAUUGAAACGUCUUCCCAUUUUUGCUGUGUAAUCUGAAGGAGCUGUUGGCCCAGAGAGCAAGCAGCACGGGGGGGGGGUGUAUUAGUGAAUUAUGG